Molecule: long non-coding RNA, 1058 nt
Filed under: Sitophilus oryzae (rice weevil)
Lineage: Eukaryota; Metazoa; Arthropoda; Insecta; Coleoptera; Curculionidae
Description: uncharacterized LOC115880391, transcript variant X3
Source: RNAcentral
UCUUGCUUGUCGUUUUGGGACAUAAACAGAACAAAGUUGAUAUAAAAAAUUAACAUUUAUUUUUAUAGAGUUAAAAAAUGUUAAUACAUAGGCAGACAAAGGAUAAAUAUAUAGUUAUAUAAUACACAAGCACAUCUACAGUACUUGAGAAUAACUCAGUUAGUUGAAAAUGGGGAUCAUUCUAAUACUUACAAAGGAUUCUGGUCUAUAAUAGAAUGCAAUUUUCGUAGAAGAAAGCAACCAUAUCUUUCAAGGAUGAAUGAAGUUACGUAGGAAGUCUGUUGUAGUUUAAUAGAACUUUGUUGGGAUCAGUCAAUCAUUGCUUCCGUUUAAGGAUACAUAUAAAAUUAGAGUCAUUUUCUAUGGACACAAGGAAGAAGGCGAAAUGCUACAUAAUAUCUUCAUGAAAUUCACUGAAAUCAUACCGGAAUUAUUUGUAUUUGCAAAUCGAAUGAUGGACCAUCAAACAGGACUCCAUAAUUAUUCAAGGUUGUCUAAAUAAUUUGUUUAUGGAAUAAGAAACAGACAAAGGACAAUGACUGGCUAAGGAUAUUUAUUCAAACAGCAGAAGAUAUAAGCAGUCAUAGUUGAACAACUAACUAAAGGACUCCAUAAUUAUUCAAGGUUGUCUAAUGAAUUUGUUUAUGGAAUAAGAAACAGACAAAGGACAAUGACUGGCUAAGGAUAUUUAUUCAAACAGCAGAAGAUAUAAGCAGUCAUAGUUGAACAACUAACUAAAGGACUCCAUAAUUAUUCAAGGUUGUCUAAUGAAUUUGUUUAUGGAAUAAGAAACAGACAAAGGACAAUGACUGGCUAAGGAUAUUUAUUCAAACAGCAGAAGAUAUAAGCAGUCAUAGUUGAACAACUAACUAAAGGUUUGGAUCUCUGGAACACAUCAUCUCGUAAGCUGAUUAAAUGGACCCGUUCCUACAUUCCAACGACACUGCAAGAUACCCAUAACUACCAAGGCUGGCUUUUAUUUACUUUAAUAUAAUUUCUUAUAAAAUAUUUAGUAUUUUUAGAUGACAUUAUAUUUAGCAUAAUUACAUUUAAAUAAA